AACGAACGCCGGCCGCAGGCUCAACACAUGCAAGUCGAACGCCCCGCACGGGUAGAGCCCGACGGGCGCGUAACGCGUGAGAACAUACCCUUUUCUACGGAAUAGCACUGGUAAACAGGAAUUAAUCCCGUAUACGCCCUACGCGGGAAAGAUUUAUCGGGGAAGGAUUAGCCCGCGCUGGAUUAGCUCGUUGGUGGGGUAACUGCCUACCGAGGCGACGAUCCAUAGCUGGUCUGCGAGGAUGAUCAGCCACAUUGGGACUGAGACCCGACCCAAACUCCUACCGGAGGCAGCCGUGGGGAACCUUCGGCAAUGCGCCCAAGCCUGAUCCAGCCGUGUCGCGUGAGUGAUGAAGGCCCUAGGGUUGUAAAGCUCUUUCACCGAUGAAGAUAAUGACGGUAGUCUGAGAAGAAGGCCCGGCUAACCUCGUG
This 431-nucleotide ribosomal RNA is filed under the name uncultured bacterium. Its description in RNAcentral is "partial 16S ribosomal RNA". It matches the Rfam family "Bacterial small subunit ribosomal RNA", at positions 29 to 507 of the family's 1533-position model. The record is from RNAcentral.